GCAGGGCUGUGUGCUUUGAGGACCACUGCAGUCCAGAAACAAAGCAUCAAAUUGAUGUCUGCGUGUCCAAAUGAAGCCCAACAGUUUGACUUUCACAGAUGUAGUGCAUUGAGAAGAGCUCUGUCGUGGCAUCUCAAAUUUCUCAAGUUAAAGAAAGUAAAGCGUAUCCCUGAGCCAGUGAAAGAAAGAUACAAGCGGAGACAUUUGAACAACCAAAGAAAACAGUGACAAUCAGAAGAUCUUUUGUUGCUCCAGCACUCCUCGUGGAACUGAAGACGCCUCGGAAAGCUCUCCGUUUCCCUCUGGCAGGAAAGGCUUUGGGAUAAAGUUGCGUGCACGGAUCACAUCAUUAUUGCUCGUGGGACUUCUUCAAGUUCAGCGCCCCCUCCAGCAGAUGGCGCUCAAGGCAACCACCUAGUUCACCUAUGCCAAGAGCCGGCUCUGGGUGGGAUUCACCACACCUGGAAGCUGAUUGGCCAUCCCAGGUGUAAGAGAGUUACGGUGUGGAGAAGCCCCAAAUAAGUGUACCACUGCCCAGAGUGAAGCAUGGGGGUGGAUCAGUGAUGGUUUGGGGCUGCUACAUCAUGGCAUUCCCUUGGCCCAAUACUUGUGCUAAAUGGGCGUGUCACUGCCAAGGAACCAUUCUGGAGGACCAUGUGCAUCCAAUGGUUCAAACACUGUCCCCUGAAGGUGGUGCUGUGUAUCAGGAUGACAAUGAACCAAUACAAGCAAGACUGGUGAAAGAUUGAUUUGAUGAACAUGAAAGUGAAGUUGAACA
Molecule: long non-coding RNA, 778 nt
Organism: Austrofundulus limnaeus
Lineage: Eukaryota; Metazoa; Chordata; Actinopteri; Cyprinodontiformes; Rivulidae
Exons: 6
Source: RefSeq, a predicted model, not a curated record